GACGAACGCUGGCGGCGUGCUUAACACAUGCAAGUCGAACGGAAAGGCCCUGCUUUUGUGGGGUGCUCGAGUGGCGAACGGGUGAGUAACACGUGAGUAACCUGCCCUUGACUUUGGGAUAACUUCAGGAAACUGGGGCUAAUACCGGAUAGGAGCUCCUGCUGCAUGGUGGGGGUUGGAAAGUUUCGGCGGUUGGGGAUGGACUCGCGGCUUAUCAGCUUGUUGGUGGGGUAGUGGCUUACCAAGGCUUUGACGGGUAGCCGGCCUGAGAGGGUGACCGGCCACAUUGGGACUGAGAUACGGCCCAGACUCCUACGGGAGGCAGCAGUGGGGAAUAUUGCACAAUGGGCGGAAGCCUGAUGCAGCAACGCCGCGUGCGGGAUGACGGCCUUCGGGUUGUAAACCGCUUUCGCCUGUGACGAAGCGUGAGUGACGGUAAUGGGUAAAGAAGCACCGGCUAACUACGUGCCAGCAGCCGCGGUGAUACGUAGGGUGCGAGCGUUGUCCGGAUUUAUUGGGCGUAAAGGGCUCGUAGGUGGUUGAUCGCGUCGGAAGUGUAAUCUUGGGGCUUAACCCUGAGCGUGCUUUCGAUACGGGUUGACUUGAGGAAGGUAGGGGAGAAUGGAAUUCCUGGUGGAGCGGUGGAAUGCGCAGAUAUCAGGAGGAACACCAGUGGCGAAGGCGGUUCUCUGGGCCUUUCCUGACGCUGAGGAGCGAAAGCGUGGGGAGCGAACAGGCUUAGAUACCCUGGUAGUCCACGCUGUAAACGGUGGGUACUAGGUGUGGGGUCCAUUCCACGGGUUCCGUGCCGUAGCUAACGCUUUAAGUACCCCGCCUGGGGAGUACGGCCGCAAGGCUAAAACUCAAGGGAAUUGACGGGGCCCCGCACAAGCGGCGGAGCAUGCGGAUUAAUUCGAUGCAACGCGUAGAACCUUACCUGGGUUUGACAUGGAUCGGGAGUGCUCAGAGAUGGGUGUGCCUCUUUUGGGGUCGGUUCACAGGUGGUGCAUGGCUGUCGUCAGCUCGUGUCGUGAGAUGUUGGGUUAAGUCCCGCAACGAGCGCAACCCUUGUUCACUGUUGCCAGCACGUUAUGGUGGGGACUCAGUGGAGACCGCCGGGGUCAACUCGGAGGAAGGUGGGGAUGACGUCAAGUCAUCAUGCCCCUUAUGUCCAGGGCUUCACGCAUGCUACAAUGGCUGGUACAGAGAGUGGCGAGCCUGUGAGGGUGAGCGAAUCUCGGAAAGUCGGUCUCAGUUCGGAUUGGGGUCUGCAACUCGACCUCAUGAAGUCGGAGUCGCUAGUAAUCGCAGAUCAGCAACGCUGCGGUGAAUACGUUCCCGGGGCC
RNAcentral lists this ribosomal RNA (1346 nucleotides) under uncultured bacterium. RNAcentral describes it as "partial 16S ribosomal RNA". It matches the Rfam family "Bacterial small subunit ribosomal RNA", at positions 28 to 1381 of the family's 1533-position model. The record is from RNAcentral.